Molecule: ribosomal RNA, 135 nt
Filed under: Castor canadensis (American beaver)
Lineage: Eukaryota; Metazoa; Chordata; Mammalia; Rodentia; Castoridae
Source: RNAcentral
GUCUAUGGCCAUAUCACCCUGAACAUGCCCAAUUUCAUCUGGUCUUGGAAACUAAGCUGGGUCAGGCCUGAUUAAUACUUGGAUGGGAAAAAGAUCUUCAGAGGAGUCUUCUCAGAGAAAAUCAGUUUGGAGACA